Molecule: unclassified non-coding RNA, 957 nt
Filed under: Hevea brasiliensis (rubber tree)
Lineage: Eukaryota; Viridiplantae; Streptophyta; Magnoliopsida; Malpighiales; Euphorbiaceae
Source: RNAcentral
GUAUAUUGAAUCUAAGGGGGAAAUUCCAAUACAUCCAAAAGGAGCAAUACAUAUUUCAUGUUUGCUAAUGAACUCAUCCUGGAAUUCCAAGUAUUUAAAAGAUGAAACUCUUCACAUAAUACAAAAACUAAGUACAAGAAUUUUGCUUUCACAAAAGAGAAUGCAGAGAGGGACGAGUUGCAGUGCUUGAACGCCUUAGAAAGGUCGCUUCUCUCUCUUUAGUUAUCACAGAUGUUUUUCCUUCUUUCUCUCUACUCUUAUUUGCUUGGACCAAUGGCUCAGACGAAGAGGACAAGCUAACAUUAUCAUUAUUAUUGUGAAAUAGCACCUCCAUAAUUAUACUCAUUUUGCCUCCAACAAGCUUUUGUUUAGCUGCCCAUCUUUGAAUUUUGCCUGAAGUUGUCUUUGGAACACUUCCACUCUUUACAAGAACGACCAGCCCAAUUUCAACUCCUUCUUCCUCCAAAAUAGCUUUCCUUAUUCCUUCACAUAUUUGCCUCAAAACAUUAACAUCUUUUUCACUUCUUUGCGUCUCUGCAACAAGAGCUACUACUGUGUUUGAAAUCUCGAAUGCAGCGAGGCAACCUCCUCUUAAAAACUCUGGAUAACCAUUAUAAGCUGCUGUUUCUAUGUAGUGAGGGUGUUUAUCUCUGCCUUUUGGGAGCCUGGUAACAUCUGAGCAUCGACCUGUCACGUAUAGAUACCUUGCUUCUCCUUUGAUGACUCCUCUAUCGCCAGUGCGGACAAAGCAUCUGCUCACCUUGUUCUUCUGUCUCGCUUGGAAUAUCUCACGAGUUAAAGAUGGAUGGUCGAGAUAACCAGAACAAUUGCUAGGUGAUGAGACCCAAAUCUCACCUUCUAACCCAUCUGCAACUGGUUCAUGUGUGUCUUCAUUUACAACUAUAAUGUCCAUAUCCUCUUCAUCUUGUUCAUGUUGAGAAGUGAGCCUUGCAAUCG